GACGAACGCUGGCGGCGUGCUUAACACAUGCAAGUCGAACGGAAAGGCCCUGCUUGCAGGGUACUCGAGUGGCGAACGGGUGAGUAACACGUGGGUGAUCUGCCCUGCACUUCGGGAUAAGCCUGGGAAACUGGGUCUAAUACCGGAUAGGAGCCAUUUUUAGUGUGAUGGUUGGAAAGUUCUUUCGGUGUAGGAUGAGCUCGCGGCCUAUCAGCUUGUUGGUGGGGUAAUGGCCUACCAAGGCGGCGACGGGUAGCCGGCCUGAGAGGGUGGACGGCCACAUUGGGACUGAGAUACGGCCCAGACUCCUACGGGAGGCAGCAGUGGGGAAUAUUGCACAAUGGGCGCAAGCCUGAUGCAGCGACGCCGCGUGGGGGAUGACGGCCUUCGGGUUGUAAACUCCUUUCGCUAGGGACGAAGCUUUUUGUGACGGUACCUAGAUAAGAAGCACCGGCUAACUACGUG
RNAcentral lists this ribosomal RNA (465 nucleotides) under uncultured bacterium. RNAcentral's name for it is "partial 16S ribosomal RNA". It matches the Rfam family "Bacterial small subunit ribosomal RNA", at positions 28 to 507 of the family's 1533-position model. The record is from RNAcentral.